Molecule: ribosomal RNA, 279 nt
Filed under: uncultured bacterium
Lineage: Bacteria
Description: partial 16S ribosomal RNA
Rfam family: Bacterial small subunit ribosomal RNA
Source: RNAcentral
UGCCAGCCGCCGCGGUAAUACGAAAGGUGCAAACGUUGUUCGGAAUCACUGGGCGUAAAGCGCACGUAGGCGGGCUUUUAAGUCGAUUGUGAAAUCCCAGAGCUUAACUUUGGAACUGCAGUCGAAACUGGCUAACUUGAGUACGGGAGAGGAAAGUGGAAUUCCGAGUGUAGGGGUGAAAUCCGUAGAUAUUCGGAGGAACACCAGUGGCGAAGGCGGCUUUCUGGACCGAUACUGACGCUGAGACGCGAAAGCGUGGGGAGCAAACAGGAUUAGAUA